UAAUACGAAGGGUGCUAGCGUUGUUCGGAAUUACUGGGCGUAAAGGGCGCGUAGGCGGUUAUAUAAGUCAGAUGUGAAAGCCCCGAGCUUAACUUGGGAACAGCAUUUGAUACUGUAUGACUAGAGUACGAGAGAGGAAAGUGGAAUUGCGAGUGUAGAGGUGAAAUUCGUAGAUAUUCGCAAGAACACCAGUGGCGAAGGCGACUUUCUGGCUCGUAACUGACGCUAAGGCGCGAAAGCGUGGGGAGCAAACAGGAUUAGAUACCCUGGUAGUCCACGCUGUAAACGAUGAGUGCUAGAUGUUAGGAAGGGAACUUCUUAGUGUCGCAGCUAACGCAUUAAGCACUCCGCCUGGGGAGUACGGUCGCAAGAUUA
Molecule: ribosomal RNA, 375 nt
Filed under: uncultured bacterium
Lineage: Bacteria
Description: bacterial SSU rRNA
Rfam family: Bacterial small subunit ribosomal RNA
Source: RNAcentral